Molecule: unclassified non-coding RNA, 383 nt
Filed under: uncultured fungus
Lineage: Eukaryota; Fungi
Description: partial contains 5.8S ribosomal RNA, internal transcribed spacer 2, and large subunit ribosomal RNA
Rfam family: 5.8S ribosomal RNA (bases 1-52)
Source: RNAcentral
AACGCACCUUGCGCCCUCUGGUAUUCCGGAGGGCAUGCCUGUUUGAGUGUCAUUAAAUUCUCAACUUCAAUAGUUUUUAUUAACUCGUUGAAGCUUGGAUGUGGAGGUUUGCUGGCGUCUCAGAUGUUCGGCUCCUCUUAAAUGCAUUAGUGGAACCCGUUUGUUGGAUCAUAUCUUGGUGUGAUAAUUAUCUACGCUUUGGUUAGUUCAACGGACUCUGUAUGGGCUUUAUCAGACUCGUUCUGGAGUGGGUUUUGCGCACUAGUGUGCUUUACCUGGCUCAUUAUAGAGUAGGGAUUGUCUGCUUUCUAACUGUCUGUAUAGUACGGACAACACUUUGACUAUUUGACCUCAAAUCAGGUAGGACUACCCGCUGAACUUAA